CUAGUUGGUGAGGUAACGGCUCACCAAGGCCACGAUGCAUAGCCGACCUGAGAGGGUGAUCGGCCACAUUGGGACUGAGACACGGCCCAAACUCCUACGGGAGGCAGCAGUAGGGAAUCUUCGGCAAUGGACGAAAGUCUGACCGAGCAACGCCGCGUGAGUGAAGAAGGUUUUCGGAUCGUAAAACUCUGUUGUUAGAGAAGAACAAGGAUGAGAGUAACUGUUCAUCCCUUGACGGUAUCUAACCAGAAAGCCACGGCUAACUACGUGCCAGCAGCCGCGGUAAUACGUAGGUGGCAAGCGUUGUCCGGAUUUAUUGGGCGUAAAGCGAGCGCAGGCGGUUUCUUAAGUCUGAUGUGAAAGCCCCCGGCUCAACCGGGGAGGGUCAUUGGAAACUGGGAGACUUGAGUGCAGAAGAGGAGAGUGGAAUUCCAUGUGUAGCGGUGAAAUGCGUAGAUAUAUGGAGGAACACCAGUGGCGAAGGCGGCUCUCUGGUCUGUAACUGACGCUGAGGCUCGAAAGCGUGGGGAGCAAACAGGAUUAGAUACCCUGGUAGUCCACGCCGUAAACGAUGAGUGCUAAGUGUUGGAGGGUUUCCGCCCUUCAGUGCUGCAGCUAACGCAUUAAGCACUCCGCCUGGGGAGUACGACCGCAAGGUUGAAACUCAAAGGAAUUGACGGGGGCCCGCACAAGCGGUGGAGCAUGUGGUUUAAUUCGAAGCAACGCGAAGAACCUUACCAGGUCUUGACAUCCUUUGACCACUCUAGAGAUAGAGCUUCCCCUUCGGGGGCAAAGUGACAGGUGGUGCAUGGUUGUCGUCAGCUCGUGUCGUGAGAUGUUGGGUUAAGUCCCGCAACGAGCGCAACCCUUAUUGUUAGUUGCCAUCAUUCAGUUGGGCACUCUAGCAAGACUGCCGGUGACAAACCGGAGGAAGGUGGGGAUGACGUCAAAUCAUCAUGCCCCUUAUGACCUGGGCUACACACGUGCUACAAUGGGAAGUACAACGAGUCGCGAAGUCGCGAGGCUAAGCUAAUCUCUUAAAGCUUCUCUCAGUUCGGAUUGCAGGCUGCAACUCGCCUGCAUGAAGCCGGAAUCGCUAGUAAUCGCGGAUCAGCACGCCGCGGUGAAUACGUUCCCGGGCCUUGUACACACCGCCCGUCACACCACGAGAGUUUGUAACACCCGAAGUCGGUGAGGUAACCUUUUGGAGCCAGCCGCCUAAGGUGGGAUAGAUGAUUGGGGUGAAGUCGUAACAAGGUAGCCGUAUCGGAAGGUGCGGCUGGAUCACCU
Molecule: ribosomal RNA, 1290 nt
Filed under: Enterococcus faecium EnGen0314
Lineage: Bacteria; Bacillati; Bacillota; Bacilli; Lactobacillales; Enterococcaceae
Description: bacterial SSU rRNA
Rfam family: Bacterial small subunit ribosomal RNA
Source: RNAcentral